GGGCUAUUAGCUCAGUUGGUUAGAGCGCACCCCUGAUAAGGGUGAGGUCCCAGGUUCAAAUCCCGGAUAGCCCA
Molecule: transfer RNA, 74 nt
Filed under: Osmundea sinicola
Lineage: Eukaryota; Rhodophyta; Florideophyceae; Ceramiales; Rhodomelaceae
Description: tRNA-Ile
Rfam family: tRNA
About the family: Transfer RNA (tRNA) molecules are approximately 80 nucleotides in length.
Source: RNAcentral